Molecule: long non-coding RNA, 4740 nt
Organism: Wyeomyia smithii (pitcher-plant mosquito)
Lineage: Eukaryota; Metazoa; Arthropoda; Insecta; Diptera; Culicidae
Exons: 2
Source: RefSeq, a predicted model, not a curated record
AUUACACAGAAUUUAAUUGACCAGCUGGUUACUGAGGCUGGGAUGCCAAUCCUCUUAUCACUGGUAUAGCAUAAAUGGUGCCUCAUAACACCAGUGACCCGGCCCUUGGCCCCCUUCUAUACCUCACAAAUACAAAUACGAAAUCAAAACAUCGAAACAUUUGUCAUUCCUCGCUAUCACCUUGUAGGGUUGCUGGAGUGGCUUUUUGACAGCGUCUACGCGACAUGCCUGCAGUCCUUCAAUUCUAGAUGCACGAAUGCUUUUUCAUUUGUGUGGUGAGAUGCUGCAGGCGAUCUCAGAUCGGCGAAUGUUUUGUGUAGUUUUUUAGCAGCUAGGUUAGUAGGGAUGGGCGAUACUGUCUGAGUAUCGAUACCUGAGUACUCGAAUACUUUUGCACAAAACGGUACCAAGUAUCGUGGUAUCGGUAUAGAAAGUAUUCCUAAAUACUCGAUGCUUUUGGCCGAAGUAUCGAUACUAUUGGUAUCGAUAUUGGUGUCGCCUUUCCCCAAUAGAAGGCAUUCGUGGUAUCGGUAUCGUUUCAAAGUAUCGUUGGCAAAGUAUCGAUACCGCUACUCAUCGCUGGCAACGAGUAUCGAUGCCGAAAUACUCGAUACUUUGUCGAUACAAGUAUCGCCCAUCCCUAUAGGUUAGUGCGAUCGAUGUUAGGGGAGGAAUGUACAAAACGCACCAGUUAAGCAUUUUCGCGAUUUACAGCGCUUCAAAUCAUUUCAAAGCGACAUUCACACUUAUAUCAAAUCACCGAAUUCGUCUUUUUUUCACCGACUUUUCAACAGCUGAGCGCUCGGUAAAACGUUCGGUAAUAUAAACCACUACCGAUCGAUCAGUAAUAAAUUUUUUGUUGCUUUCUGUCAUUAUUACCGACCUAAUUUGUGAAAACGGCAAAUGCAAUUAGUUGCCAAAACCACCGAUCAAAUCUGUAAGUUGUGUAAGACAAUACCGAAAGAUCUGUGAUAUCUGUUCACUUUUAAUUAUUUAGGUAAACCAGAAAUAUGAUGUAACAUUGUUUUGAUAAAAAAAUAUUUUUAUUCAAAUAUCAAAAAUUUUACCUAUUAAAAAUAAAAAAAAAUCAGAAAUCGACGCUCGCCGCACCGAAUUUGUCAGGGUGAAAAUCAAUUAACCUUCAUGCCAGUUGUGCUCAUAGUUUCAAAACCGAAAAUCUUCCGGGUGUGUCCAUUAACAAGGCGGUGUAAACUAUUUACGUAGCAUGCGACAGAUGCUCGGAAGUAGAGGCAUAUUAUGUGAUGGUUUGAUGCCUAAAAUAUUUACAAACUUACGAAAAAUUUGUACUAUGCGAACAUCUUUUAGCUGAAGUUGUUGGAGAAAGUCCUCCAUGUUUUCGUAGGAACUUCAAUGUUCAAACGGAACCGAGAAUGUGAUUUGACAACCAGAACGAGAACGAAUAAAAAAAUUCGACAGCUCUAUAGUUGGUCCAGUAGUUUUUUACAAAUAUUCGGUAAAAGUUUAAUUUACCGAAGUUCAGUAGAAAAUAUAACAGUUUUCGGUAAAAUCAUUUGCUGAAUACAGAAAAUAUGUAAAGUUUUUUAUUUAUUUAUUUAUUGAAAUAAAUCCAUCCGACUAGCAGUCUUAAUGAAUAAUCGAGUGUAUGGCUGGGAAAAGCCACCUUGAAAGUCACUGGUAGGCGACUAUUAAGGCGGCAUAAAAACCCAGCAUCUUUUUUAAAAAACAAAAACAUCUACAGAGAUAUUACAAAAAUUUGAUACAGAUAACAUAGAUAAAGUCGAAACAAACAAUGCACAUUAAUUAACUAUACUAGAAAUUAAAAUUAACAUUUUGACGAUUAUAAACCAAAGCCAUCCGACGAACAGGUUCAUGCUGGCCAUAAUUCGUGCGGUGUGCGUUGGUCUGCAGUAAUCGCUGAUGACGUUGUGGACGAAGAGGGCAUUGCAGCUGAAGCAUUGUCAAGAUAGCGGGGCAGUCAUAGCAACCAGUGAGGAUUUUGUGCACAUUUCUGGCCAGUAUGUCCUUACGACGUUCUUCAAGGGGUUUUAUCCCCACCAGCAGGCAAAGGUUUUCGUAUGGCGGCAAAUUAUCAGGGUUCCUCCAUGGCAAUCUGCGACAAAUCCUUCGGAUAAAGAGCUUUUGAAUGCGCUCGAUUCGCUGUAUCCGAAAAUCGUUGUACGGGUCCCAAACAACGCAGGCAGUUUCUAAAACUGAGCGUACCAGAGAGCAGUAGAGUGUGCGCAUAGUACCAGGAUCGUGAAACUCCUUUCCAAUCCUAAAUAUUAAACCAAGUUGACGAUUGGCUUUAUUGAUGAUCGCAGAAUAAUGCUGCCUAAAUGACAUACUGGUGUCCAAAAAAAACACCCAAAUCAGUGACAACGUCGCUACGAUGUAAAUAAGUGCCAGCGAUACGAUAGUCAAAAAGCAACGGCUGUUUUUUGCGCUGGAAGCUGAUCACGGUACAUUUGGGAAUGCUCAGCAUCAUAUAGUUGCGUAGGCACCAGUCGUUGAAAGCAUCGAGUAACGUUUGAAGUCUACAGCAAUCAUCAUAAUUCUCAACAAUUUGAAAUAUUUUAGUAUCAUCAGCGUACAAUAGUCGUGUGCCAGGUGGUAGAACUUUAGUUACAUCAUUAAUGUACAAAGAGAAAAGCAGCGGCCCAAGAAUGCUGCCUUGAGGAACACCAGAAUUGUUGCUGAACCAAGCGGAUUGCGACGUUCCCAACUGUACCGCGAUCUGUCGGUUGCGUAGAUAAGAACUGAGCCAUUUUACCAGUCCAGUUGAAGCUCCAAGCUUGUCGCAUUUUGCACAAAGUAAUCCAUGAUCAACACGAUCAAAAGCAGCUUUCAGGUCCGUGUUAUAUCAAUUUUACAAACAACUCUUUAUUUUCUCAAACUUACCGAUCGAAAUUGUGAUAAUAAGUACCGAACAUUUAUUACCUGAUUGAGUGUGUUGAACGUGUAGGAUGGUUGUAGGAUCUAUUUAUUGUACACACUUAUUUUGAAUCACCGAAUUCAUCUUUUUUCCACCGACUUUUCAACAGCUGAGCGCUCGGUAAAACGUUCGGUAAAAUAAACCACUACCGAUCGAUCAGUAAUCAAAUUUUUGUUGCUUUCUGUCAUUAUUACCGACCUAGUUUGUGAAAACGGCAAAUGCAAUUAAUUGCCAAAACCACCGAUCAAAUCUGUAAGUUGUGUAAGACAAUACCGAAAGAUCUGUGAUAAUUGUUUUUGUUCACUUUUAAUUACUUUAAGUAAACCAGAAAUAUGAUGUAACAUUGUUUUGAUAAAAAAAUAUUUUUAUUCAAAUGUUAUUAAAAAUUUUACCUAUUAAAUAUAAAAAAAAAAUCAAAAAUCGACGCUCGCCGCACCGAAUUUGUCAGGGUGAAAAUCAAUUAACCUUCAUGUCAGUUGUGCUCAAAGUUUCAAAGCCGAAGAUCUUCCGGGUGUGUCCAUUAACAAGGCGGUGUAAACUAUUUACGUAGCAUGCAACAGAUGCUCGGAAGUAGAGGCAAAUUAUGUGAUGGUUUGAUGCCUAAAAUAUUUACAAAUUUUGUUAUAUACUUACGAAGUUGUUGGAGAAAGUCCUCCAUGUUUUCGUAGGAACUUAGUCUUCAAACGGAACCGAGAAUGUGACUUGACAACCAGAACGAGAACAACGAAUAGAAAAAAUUUGACAGCACUAUAGUUGGUCCAGUAGUUUUUUUGAGUUUUAGACAUUAUGGCACACUUUUUUAUAUGAGAUUUGUAGAGAAGCUGGGUUUUUAUGAGAAAAGCGAAGAAUUUUGUCAUAAAAAGCCACAUGUGUAAGUAUUUUGGGGAAUUAAUAGCAUGGGCCAUCUUACCCAACUGGUGCGUCUUGUACGGUUCUCCCCUACUUGCUCAGCGCUUACCCCAAAUCAUUUUGAUUGGAUGCGUCAGAUGGUUCGAAACCACGAUGCCCAGUAUCGUUACAGGUCACCGCGCAGGCUCCUGCUAAUCUAUAGUGGAAACGACAAUAUCUGUAAGAGGAAUUGUAAUAAUAGUGGAUCCGAAUUUGCCAAGGAACUGUUGUUCCAAAGGCCGCAUGAUGUCUGUCGGCCAAAAUGUCUACAAAUGGCCAAGUUCGUUCGGCAGUCGUUAAGACUACUAUGAUACAAAUCAUAUUGUGUGUGUAUUUUUUGCUUUUUCUGUUUGUAAUUUUUUUUUUGGUUUUUACAUGAGAUAUUAAAUUUGGCCAAGCUAUAUAUUUUUUUAUGUUUCAUCUUGGAGGUAGAAUUUCAUUAAUCUUUGUCACUGUCAUCAAAUGAAAUCACCGUGCGUCCUAAUUUAAGGGUUAAUAAUAAUAAUAAUAAUAAUAAUAAUAAUAAUAAUAACGAUAAUAAUAAUAAUAAUAAUAAUAAUAAUAAUAAUAAUAAUAAUAAUAAUAAUAAUAAUGUUAAUGAUUAUAAUAAUGAUAGCAAUACAGGUCGGACUCGAUCAUCCGGAACAUCAAACAAGUUUUCAUUCCAGAUAAUCGAGUUUUCCGGAUAAUCGAAUCACAGAAAAAAUACUCAAUUUGAUAUUAACGAACAUAAAAUAAAUAUUUUCUUUCAUUUAUUUUACUUGUAUAACCAGAAAUUAUUUCUGUGGCGAAAAGGGGUAAAAUCUUGAGAAGCGAAAAUAAAUUGGACAUUGAUUAUUUUCACUCAAUUCGAACAUGUCCCAAACAUGCAGUGAGUGACAUAAAUAAUGGUCACAAAUAUGCCAGUAAAAUUUCGGAAUAAAAAUUAAAAACGAAAA